UACGAAGGGUGCAAGCGUUACUCGGAAUUACUGGGCGUAAAGCGUGCGUAGGCGGUUUGUUAAGUCCGUUGUGAAAGCCCUGGGCUCAACCUGGGAAUUGCAGUGGAUACUGGCAAGCUAGAGUACGGUAGAGGUUGGUGGAAUUCUCGGUGUAGAGGUGAAAUUCGUAGAUAUCGAGAGGAACACCGGUGGCGAAGGCGGCCAACUGGACAGAUACUGACGCUGAGACACGAAAGCGUGGGGAGCAAACAGG
RNAcentral lists this ribosomal RNA (253 nucleotides) under uncultured bacterium. Its description in RNAcentral is "partial 16S ribosomal RNA". It matches the Rfam family "Bacterial small subunit ribosomal RNA", at positions 524 to 776 of the family's 1533-position model. The record is from RNAcentral.